This 497-nucleotide ribosomal RNA is filed under the name uncultured bacterium. RNAcentral describes it as "partial 16S ribosomal RNA". It matches the Rfam family "Bacterial small subunit ribosomal RNA", at positions 28 to 507 of the family's 1533-position model. The record is from RNAcentral.
GAUGAACGCUGGCGGCGUGCCUAAUACAUGCAAGUCGAGCGAACAGACGAGGAGCUUGCUCUUCUGACGUUAGCGGCGGACGGGUGAGUAACACGUGGAUAACCUACCUAUAAGACUGGGAUAACUUCGGGAAACCGGAGCUAAUACCGGAUAAUAUAUUGAACCGCAUGGUUCAAUAGUUCAAGACGGUUUUGCUGUCACUUAUAGAUGGAUCCGCGCCGGAUUAGCUAGUUGGUAAGGUAACGGCUUACCAAGGCAACGAUGCGUAGCCGACCUGAGAGGAUGAUCGGCCACACUGGAACUGAGACACGGUCCAGACUCCUACGGGAGGCAGCAGUGGGGAAUCUUCCGCAAUGGGCGAAAGCCUGACGGAGCAACGCCGCGUGAGUGAUGAAGGUCUUCGGAUCGUAAAACUCUUUUGUUAGGGAAGAAAAGAUGUGUAAGUAUCUAUGGACGUCUUGACGGUACCUAAUCAGAAAGCCACGGCUAACUACGUG